AGUCAGCAAGUGAUUUUAUUAAAGUAACAUAUUUUUAUCAAGUAAUAUUCCACUUAGCGUAUAACUAUCCUAUUUUUCUACCUGAAUUAUAUAUUUUAACGUGUCCCAUAUCGAUUUUGACCAUAUUUGGUGUUUCGUAUGUUUUAAUACCUAGUCAACUAUACCCUAUGAAUCGUGUUUGUAUAAUUUAGUGAUUUCGAGACAAAAGUUUGUUAUCUUAUAAAUAUUAGGAAAGAUGGCUCCGGUGAAGUUCGGCCUGUUCAAAGCUCGGAGCAGGGACUACCAGGAGCAGCCUUCCACUGAGAACUUGCUGCACACCAGUUAUAGCACAGACCAUGUGGGCACGCCGCAGUCUCCUAUACCUUCAACCAGUAAAGGUAUAACGGAAGAGCGGC
Molecule: long non-coding RNA, 395 nt
Organism: Manduca sexta (tobacco hornworm)
Lineage: Eukaryota; Metazoa; Arthropoda; Insecta; Lepidoptera; Sphingidae
Exons: 3
Source: RefSeq, a predicted model, not a curated record